CACGUAGGGUGCGAGCGUUGUCCGGAAUUAUUGGGCGUAAAGAGCUCGUAGGCGGUGUGUCGCGUCGGCCGUGAAAACCUGCAGCUUAACUGUGGGCUUGCGGUCGAUACGGGCAUCACUGGAGUUCGGCAGGGGAGACUGGAAUUCCUGGUGUAGCGGUGAAAUGCGCAGAUAUCAGGAGGAACACCGGUGGCGAAGGCGGGUCUCUGGGCCGAUACUGACGCUGAGACGCGAAAAGCGUGGGGAGCGAACAGG
This 255-nucleotide ribosomal RNA is filed under the name uncultured bacterium. RNAcentral's name for it is "partial 16S ribosomal RNA". It matches the Rfam family "Bacterial small subunit ribosomal RNA", at positions 524 to 776 of the family's 1533-position model. The record is from RNAcentral.